ACACUCAGGGAGUACACCAUGUGAAGACUGGACUUAAACAGCUACACCACCAGAAGCCGAGAGAGAGGCUGGAACAUAGCCUUCCCUUUGGAGCCCUAGCAGAUGCUAAUCCAGCGUGCGUCCUGACAGAGGUUGAAGGGGGCUCCUCAAGUCCCAGGUCCAGCUUGGUGUGGUUCAGCUACUCGAGAGACAUCUGCUGCUAAUGGAUGAGCAGUCAACCUGGACGCAGGAAAUCAUUUUUUAUUUGGAAUAACUGGGAGAUGAAACAGGAAGCUCUAUGACACACUUGAUCGAAUAUGACAGACACCGAAAAUCACGACUCAGCCCCCUCCAGCACCUCUACCUGUUGCCCGCCGAUCACAGCCGGAAUGCAGCUGAAAGAUUCCCUGGGGCCUGGUUCCAACCGCCCACUGUGGACUCUGAGGCCUCUGCAUUUGCGGGUGGUCUGCCUGUGAUAUUUUGGUCAUGGGCUGGUCUGGUCGGUUUCCCAUUUGUCUGGCCAGUCUCUAUGUGUCUUAAUCCCUUGUCCUUCAUUAAAAGCAAAAC
This 546-nucleotide long non-coding RNA is filed under the name Pan troglodytes (chimpanzee). RNAcentral's name for it is "lincRNA". Lineage: Eukaryota; Metazoa; Chordata; Mammalia; Primates; Hominidae. The record is from RNAcentral.